Long non-coding RNA from Mercenaria mercenaria, 1237 nucleotides. RefSeq lists it as uncharacterized. NCBI's taxonomy places the organism in Eukaryota, Metazoa, Mollusca, Bivalvia, Venerida, Veneridae. The record is from RefSeq and is a predicted model, not a curated record. The transcript is spliced from 3 exons.
GAUAAAUAUAGCUGUUUUGGAAAAGCUCUAAAUGCAGCUGAAAUCGAAACAAGGUUACUCGAAAUCAGCUAAAUUAUUCGCACGGAUUUAAACGAUAUCUACAUUACAAUAAAAGAAACUUGGCAGAGAGACAAACCAAAAUCUAAUACAUAUUCAGUAGAUAUUGGCUGCUUACCUGGGUGCGCCAAUCUGCAAGAUGACGGAUACAGACCAACAAGCCGUCGUAUAUGAGGUGAAAAUUUCGAUGUAUUUUCCAGGAUAAUUUAAUAACGUUAUUGGAUGUUUACAAGGAAUAUUCUCUAUAAGAUGCAUUUCAUAAGACAGAAAUUAUUUCUACAAAGAAUUAAUCAUUUUAUAAACUGUAAAUAAAGGAUGAAAAGAAAGUUUGUUCUGGUUAAGCAAACAGUAGUAUUGUUUUAUUGAGAUGUGAAAAAGGCAAUAAGAAAGGACCAUAUACUACAAAUGAUCACGUUUGGUUUUAUUACAAGUUCAGAAAAAUAUGGCAUUCACUGAAAGAUUGUAUUUAUAACAUAUUACUAUGAAAGAAAAUUUUCACUAAAUUUCAUGUUUGGGGCGGGAGAUUCGAAUGGGGAGGGAGGGGAGAGGGAAAUGGGUGGAUGGAUGGAUAUGCUUUUGUAUUUUUUACAUAAAAGCAUUUACAGGCAAUAAUUAAAGAUACGGCAAAAAUGUUAGUUCGAAUAACAAUAUUAGAGCUAAUGCUUUUUAAAAUGUUCUGAAUUUAAUGCAUAAAUUAUAUUUCCUCCAAUGUGAAAAUCAGAAAAGUACAGACUUUUGCAGCAGAAAUAACAUUAAUUAUACAUGUCCUACUUUUAAUGUUUUGCUUCUUCGCCUAGUUACUAUACUCCUUUAUAACUUUAAAGAUUACGAAGAUUAUGUGUAGGCGCUGAAUAAAAUGUUGUGGUCUUUUACAUAUCAAGAUUGUUCAUUUAUCAAAGAAUAUAUGAAACUUUCCAAAAAUAAUAAUAAUUAUUAUUAAAAUUUUGUGUGCUGGUAGUUGUAUUAAGACUGAGGGCAGAGACUAGCACAGGUGUAUUGACAAUAGCUUUGAAGAAGUCAACUGUGGCUGUCAGCGGGUAAAUGUUCCACUGACCUACUGUUCUGGGGAAAAACAGAGGAAUAUUUGUAGGAAUCUUUUGAUGUGCUAAUGUAUCUAGUCUUGUGAUGCUGGUUCACUAUUCCAUUUUGAACGACUUUUGCGUUCAGUCUUUAAGUGUAU